AGAGUUUGAUCCUGGCUCAGAGUGAACGCUGGCGGUAGGCCUAACACAUGCAAGUCGAACGGCAGCACAGUAAGAGCUUGCUCUUACGGGUGGCGAGUGGCGGACGGGUGAGGAAUACAUCGGAAUCUACUUUUUCGUGGGGGAUAACGUAGGGAAACUUACGCUAAUACCGCAUACGACCUACGGGUGAAAGCAGGGGAUCUUCGGACCUUGCGCGAUUGAAUGAGCCGAUGUCGGAUUAGCUAGUUGGCGGGGUAAAGGCCCACCAAGGCGACGAUCCGUAGCUGGUCUGAGAGGAUGAUCAGCCACACUGGAACUGAGACACGGUCCAGACUCCUACGGGAGGCAGCAGUGGGGAAUAUUGGACAAUGGGCGCAAGCCUGAUCCAGCCAUACCGCGUGGGUGAAGAAGGCCUUCGGGUUGUAAAGCCCUUUUGUUGGGAAAGAAAUCCAGCUGGUUAAUACCCGGUUGGGAUGACGGUACCCAAAGAAUAAGCACCGGCUAACUUCGUGCCAGCAGCCGCGGUAAUACGAAGGGUGCAAGCGUUACUCGGAAUUACUGGGCGUAAAGCGUGCGUAGGUGGUCGUUUAAGUCUGUUGUGAAAGCCCUGGGCUCAACCUGGGAACUGCAGUGGAAACUGGACGACUAGAGUGUGGUAGAGGGUAGCGGAAUUCCUGGUGUAGCAGUGAAAUGCGUAGAGAUCAGAGGACAUCCAUGGCGAAGCAGCUACCUGGACCAACACUGACACUGAGCACGAAGCGUGGGGAGCAAACAGGAUUAGAUACCCUG
RNAcentral lists this ribosomal RNA (789 nucleotides) under uncultured bacterium. Its description in RNAcentral is "bacterial SSU rRNA". It matches the Rfam family "Bacterial small subunit ribosomal RNA", at positions 8 to 789 of the family's 1533-position model. The record is from RNAcentral.